GGGUAGAGAUGUAGCAUCAAACAUUCACGGAUGUCCAGGGAGCACGGGCACACAGGCUGCUGGCCAGAGGUACUAGGAAGGUACAGGCGGGAGUUCGACGAGGACGCACCUUCCCCUGUCUUGGAAAGGCUCAGGUGACAUGUAUGUGUCUUUUGCUGGGAGCAGCCCUCGAUUCUUUUAAACUAUUAUGAGCACAAUACACUAGUCAUGUCGGAGAUAACAGCCUGACCUCAGCGUGGCUGCAAAAUGAAGCCACUUUUGGCUUUCCUAAGCCAUCAGGUAACAUCGUCACAUGGUCUUCCUUUUCUAAUGAGAGCCUAGAUAUUCACUGCUCAUCCCGCACGAAGGGACUAUUGCUUUCCUCGACUCCUGAGGCUGCUCACAGCGCUGCUGGACUCUUUAAGCCCUGAGGUCAUGUGAAAAGAAGUUUGCCCUGUGUCCUUCUGUCUCCUGUUGGCUGUCCACAAAAUGGAGAAGGCGGAAGCAACCUGAGGCGUCCUCUUUGUCUGUAAAGAUAGAGAGUCCAUUGUGGAAGGGGGAGAUACAGGAACUAUAUAGGCGAGGCUCUACCGGACUGCAUCUCUUAUCUCCAGAAUUCUUUUACAGAAAAGAAAAAAAUAAACUUUUAUCUGGCUUAAGCCA
RNAcentral lists this long non-coding RNA (642 nucleotides) under Mus musculus (house mouse). Its description in RNAcentral is "lncRNA downstream of Cdkn1b". The record is from RNAcentral. Lineage: Eukaryota; Metazoa; Chordata; Mammalia; Rodentia; Muridae.